RNAcentral lists this long non-coding RNA (6286 nucleotides) under Gallus gallus (chicken). The record is from RNAcentral. Lineage: Eukaryota; Metazoa; Chordata; Aves; Galliformes; Phasianidae.
AGAGAACGGAAGGGGUGAAGGAGGAGUAUAGCGAGGAAGACUGGCCCCGGGACAUUUGCAAAUCCUAGGGUGCCACUGAAAGGUGGGGAGUCAGACAAAGCCAGAGCGACAGAAAAGCGGAUCUACUCCCAGCAGCAACAACAGGAGCUGUCUGGAGCUGGAUAUAUACAUAGAUGCGUACGUACGUGCACACACAGGAGGAAUUCAAGCUGAAGCUAAUGGGAGGGAGAAAGGGUUUGGGCUGUGCAAAAAGCUAUGCGUUUCAGGCAUGAGACUAAAAACUGAAAGAAGAGGCUGUGCUCCCGGGAAUGUGUCAUCUUGGAAGGGAGGGAGGCAGGAAGGAAGGAAGAAAAGGGGGAAGAUAACUGGCAUGUGGAAGACGAUGGGAUUCUAACUCACUGCUGUGCAGAAGGGAAAUCCAACUUGUAGAUCUGAAAUACACCAGGCAGAGAUUGCAAAUGCGAUCGGAGCUGCGUUGAAGCAGAGAAAGAGAAGAAAAGGGAGGCAGAGGCUGGAGAGCUUUUAUCCUUCUCCCUCUCUCUCCUCAAAGAAGAAAUAGAAGUUUAUCUGUCUUGGUGCUGCUGGAUCUUUAUAGCUGCUGGACAAAAGAUGGAGAGGAAGCUGAAAUGAAAAGCAAAGGGAAACCAGUGCUUGCGAAACUCACGGCUAAGAAGACAAAUCACGCCUCCCCAGGCUUCUUUUGUGCCCCAUCGGGGGAGUUUUAACAUCAGAAAGAUUUUGAGAAGUGUGGGGAGCAAAGGGGAGAGUGGGCGUUAAAAACACCCAUCCUGAGUGUUUAAAAAAUAACGAGGGGAUGGAUUUAUUCUUGACAGCUGGUGGGAACCUUGAAUUUUUCUCUACUCCCUCCCUCCUUCCUUCCAUUUAAUGUGAGAUUAUGAAAAUGCAGAGGAGUUGGAGGGAAGGCAAAAGGAUAUAAUGUGGAGUUUGAAGCGAGGAAGAGAGUGCUGAUGCUGUGGAUUGCUGGCUUCUUGCUGAAAUCAAAAAUCCAAUUGCGCACUGGGUUGUGAUUGGAAAUCUAAUCAGAUCUUUGGGGAGAAGGGAGAGACACUAAAAGUUAUCGUAUUGACAUAUAGAAAUAAAAAUUUAAAUGCAAACGGAGAUUCUAUCCUGAAGGAGUGUGGGGGAUAGGGAAAGAGAAGAAUGGGAAUCCCCAUUCUAAUGUGGAGACACACGGAUUGGAUAAUUGAUAGUGCAGCAAAGAAGGGGGAAGAAGAAAAUUGCCUGGCAAGACCUGGAUCUUAACAGUCACAACAAAAUUGCAUUAAAAGAAUACAGAUGGAGGGCUGCUUAAACAGAAAUACAGCUCUUUCUGCUCUCCAGAGAAAAAACAAAUAGUGAGCAAUGGAGAGCAGAGAAGCUAGAGUGGCAGAAAACCUCAGAAAAAGGGAAGUAGGCAAAGGAUCCACUGUGGAAUGAAAAGUUUCAGAAAGAAGAAAGACCAUUCAUCCUCUGCAAUAAUUUUUCUUUUUUUUUCUUGGUGUUUUAAACCCCUCUUCUCCAGUGAAGCAAACAUCAUUGUUACCACUACAGCAAUUUUAAGCAGAAAAGUUGAACACAACAGAGAAAAUAAAGGACAGAGAAGAAAAAAGCAAAAUUGCUGGAGGGAGAGAGUUCAGCAGUGCUGGGUUGGAUUGGUACCUGUAUGGACUGAAAUUGCUUGGGAAUUGCAGUUGGAUAUCUUUUAUUCUUGUUUCCUUCCUUGUUUUUAAUUUUGGUUUGGUUGCUGAAAUGAAAUAGUUUUCAUAACCCAUCCCCCACCCUGUUUUUUCAUAACCACUCGGAUUUCCAGCUGGAUAGUCUUUGAGGAUAUAGGUGAAUGCUGUGAGGUGGUCAAGUCAACUCUGUGGAACAUUCUCCAAUGGGCUAGUAGGAUGAGAAGAUCCAAGAGUAGUUUGGGAAACAAGGAGAAACAUCACCUCUCAUGACGGUAAACCUACCGAAAAGAGUCUCUGGAGGGCAAGAUGCAAAAUGCAACUCUCAAAACCUGUAGGCAUGUGGAAGCCCCAAACUGGGAAUCUCUUGUCACUGAAGUAAGAGGAAAAGAGAUUGCCAUCUCAGACUUCUUUCUACCAUUUAAGUUACUGCAUCUGCAUCAAAACACCAGCAGUUCAUAUGGCAUCAUUAUAUAUUGGUUGAAAAAUACUGAGUGAAGCAUUAGGAAUAUGGGAAUUAUCUUGGCUCACAGGUCAGUAUGUGAAGUACCUAUUUUAUAUUUUCAAUCUCUAUUGCACUCCCACAACACCAUUGCCCUUAGUUCUAAAGAAUUCUAACAUCUAAAUAUAUGUUAACUAGACUGUGUUUUUAGAUUUCCCUUUAAUUACUGGUGAAUGUGUAACUUUAUUAUGUUCUUUGUCUGAAGAGGAGAAGAUGGACUUUUAGCAUUCAUUUCUCCUGAAUUGAAGCAAAACUUGAAACUUUAAUUAUGGAUCAAUUCUCCUGCCAUCAGAAAUACUUUCCCUUAAUAAUCCAGUCAGAGGUACUUCAGUACACUUUAACUUGAGAUAUUAGCUACAGAUUUUUCUAUAGCUUAAAAGUGUAUAUUUGGUUUGAAAAAAAACCUAACAACAACAACAGCAACAAAAAACACCUUUAUAACAUAAAAUUAAAAAAAUAAAAGUAAAUUUACAUGUACUUUUUGCUAAGUCUACAUUUCACUGCACCUUAUCUGAACAGUAUAAAUUUCAAUUUUUAUUACUAUUGGAUAAUCACACAAGUCAAUUUUUGUUUUAGAAUUCUUUUCCUUCUUAUGUAUCAUUAUAAAAACAACUGGCCUGUAGCAUCGACAUCAUUUUUAUACAGUUUUUCUCUGCUUUCAUGAUGCCCUCAUGCUAGUCUCAAAGCUCAGUCUUAAAACAAAGUCUUCAUGACAAAGAGUAAGUAAUUAAAGCUUUCAUUUGUUAUAGACCUUUUUGGUGUUUGAUGAGGAAAAAAUGGAACAAAUCUUUCAUUUGAUAUUGUACAGUUGUCCACAGAGUUGCUCAAGUAAUAGAGUACGUAUAGGUAUGCAUGAGUCUUCCUUACAUUUCUACAUGCUAUGCUUAUGCUCUGCGAAGCUACAUACAGCGCUCAUCUUUUUUCAUAGCAUGUUUAAGCUUAACUCUACGAAACUGAUUGUUAGCAUUGCUGAGAUACAACAGGUACAAAUAAUGUAUGUAGGCAAAUAUAGAGCAAAAAAGAAAUCUCCAGUAUUCUUUGUUAACUUGUGUUUAAGAUUCAUCUGUAUCUUUAAACAGAAAGGCGCUAUUUCUGCUUAUUGCAUAAGAGAAUGUGCUAUUUGUAAGGGGUAUGGCAUUUGCCCAAAGGGACAAAUGACAAGCAGCAAUGUAAUAGAAAUAUGAAGAAGCAAUCAUCCCAAUUUCCCUUUUGAAAUGCUCUUAAUCAUUUCAUUGGUAAAUGGCACAUGUUAUCCUUGAGUGAACUGGCCAGACAAAUAGGGAAGAUAAAGUGAUUCAUUUAUUUUCUACAGUUCAAAACAAUUGAACAUUUAGUACCUGAUUGUGAAAGGAACCUUAAGGCAGACUUAAUAUUAUCUAGAUGAUGACAUUUGUUAAACAAAAAAAAGUAGGCUUGAACUUUGAAUACUGAUCCUCAAUUUAUUAGUUCUUGGUGGUAUGGCUUUGACAGGUCAUAAUUCAUCACCAAAGGAGUAAAAAAAAAAAUUGGAACUUAAAUACUGUGUGCUAUUUAGUAUCUUUAUUCCAGAGAAAAGACUGUCAUGGGUAUCAAGCACUGAAUUGCUCAGAACUGUCAUCUACACCUCACAGAAACAUCCGUUUGUUGAUAUUUUGUGGCACAAAUCCAGUAGUCAUUCUAAAGAACAGAGACAUAAAAAGUUGUGAAAAGUUGUGUAGGUGAUAAUUUUUUUUUAUUUAUUUUUUGCCAAGCUGUUAAGUUAAAAAAUGUUUGAGAAAUAAUUAAUUGGAUAUUUUUAUAUGAAUAUAAUUAAUAUGUAUGAAUCUACAUGUAUUUAUAUAAGGAAUAAUCAGUACAUAUUUAAAAAUUAAUCUUUUUUUGAGACAAGUAUUUCAUUAACUGUGAAGAAGCAUAUGCGGCUAUCCUUUUUUACUGUUUAAGUGUAAGUCAAUUAAUUAUCAAUUGUCUGUUACCAGCACUUGGAUAGAAAUUCAAGAUGAGGAGUUUGAUAAACUAAAUGGAUGCAGUGAGACAGAUCUUGUGCCAGUGAAGGUAUACUGAUUUGUAUAAGCUGUGGAUCUGGUCUGUAAAUUUUACUUUUGAUAGCAGAUAGUAUUACAGCACAGUCAUGACUUUCUACAGGCAAUCUUCAUGCUGUAAGAUGGAAGGUCUUCACAAGGCCUCUCCCUGGACAGUUCAUACAAAAGUCUGGGAGAAAGGAAAGAGUGAAUGCCCAAACUAAUCAGUAGUGAUCCCUUUGGAGUCUGUGUCCACCUAUAAAACUUAUGUCCACAGUAUAUAGAGUGAAAUUAAGAGAAAGCUGUAAGUCAGCUAUUAUUCCUUGCAGUUUGAAGGAGAAUUACAGCAAAUCUGUGUCCAAAAUCCUUGAAUCAAUAAUAUGAAAAAAGAAUUUCAAGAAGACUGUAAUAGCCUCAUACCAACUUUGAGGUGUACUGUCUGCUGUGACUGUGUUGUGUGUUCAGCUAUCUCUAAUGAAAUUAUUCCUCUCACUCCCUAGUAUGUUCUUACUUUGCCUUUCAGUAAAAAUUGGGAGAUAAGAAUAGUGAAGUGCAAUUGAAUUUAGUCUAGUGAGUGCCUUUCUCACUCAUAAGUACUGCUUGUUAAAUUUCAUUUUGAAAAAUGAAGCUGUAUUUAGUGUAAAUGUGAGGGAUCCUAGUGAGAAGAAAAGCACCCCAAACCAUUAAGAGGAAAAAAAAAAUCUGCUCUUUUUGCUGCUGUAUAAUUUUAAAGCUAUUUAGCAAUUUGUGCUAUAUUUAAGUAAAAAAAGAUUGCUGACAACUUGGACACCAGACUGAAAGUAAAAUGAAAUUUUUAAAGGAGGAUUUUGUACCCUUUAAGAAGGAAAAUGAAGUUUGCAAGUUCCUAGCAGACCCUUAAUUAAAUUGGAAUGUUGCUAUGCUACCUUAAUACAUUAGGGAGAAACUAUUGAGGCUGUUUGCUGACUGCAGUAUACUGCAGGUUACAUUGUUAAGCUCCUUUGUGGAGCAAAAGCAAGCUCUACCCCCAUAAAUAACUUCAAUGAUUGAUGGUAGAAUACAGCUUUGCUCUCUUGUACUUGUUACCUACAUAGAGGACUUUACAUCCCAGUACUUGCCACCAUCUACAGUCUAAACAGCAGAUAUCAAAUUUUUAUAGUUCUCACCAAAUGAUGGCUACUCUCUUGCAGCAUUUGCCUUCACUUUUAAGAGGAGAGAGAUAAUUAAUAGCUAACUCUUUCCCAAGAAAUCUGUCAUGUCCUAGCUUACUCAAGACAGGUGUCGAGGAUGAGAGAUUUUCUAGUGCAUCCUUCUGCACGUACUGUUAGAUAGAUUGUCAAUAUGCAUAAGUUACUAUUGACUGAAGGUCAUAGAAUGGUGGUCUCCUCACGCUGGAUACCUAGCUUUCUGUCUAAGCUGAAAACAAACGUCUAUUGUAUAUACUGAGCAAAACGGAGAGCUUCAAGAAGCUGCUGUAAGAAUUCCAUAAAAGCAGAUUGUUCUUCCAAGUUAAUCCCACAGCAGUGCUCUGGUGCUGUACUAACACAAAUGCUCCUCUUUAAUAUGAUGCAAGUGAAUGAGUCAAACUGUCUUUCCAAAAAAACAGUUUCCAAAACAGUUGGAAAGUUUACCAUUGUGCAGUAGGUCAAAUUUGAACACAGAUACAUAGUUCCUAUUGUGCCUUCAGUCUGAAUUGAAGAUAGCAGUCUUCACAUGGUAUACUGCAAAAAAGCCUCUAUGUUUCUCUCCAGAAAUUUAAGUGGAGAAUAAGGUAAUUCUGAUAUACUACAUAUGCUGUCUGCCAGAUUAGAAUUUAAAGCUCAGAAGCAAACUUCUAGAUAAAAGUAUUAAUGUAGUAUAAGUAUAGAUACUUCUAGAUAAAAGUACAACUGUAGUAUAAGGGUAAGCCAUUACCAUCUAUUAGUCACUGUAAAGCCUCCUAAAUUCCAUGUACACCAGACAUAACAUAUAAAUGUUGAAGAUAAGGACCUCUCUUGAUUCAUCACAGGCAAUGCUUGCUGUUUUCAGUUCACAGCUACCAUUGCAACUCUGUAUUUUAUGAUGGGAAGGAACAAAAAGAGAUGAAAGGAAAUGACUUGUUAUUUCAAAAAAGAAAAGGCUUUUUUUCAUUCCUG